CGGGAUACCCGAGGGAAACUUCGGUUAAUACGGUAUAAGACCACACUACCGCAUGGUAGAGGGGUAAAAGGGGCAACCUGGUAUGAGAUGGACUCGCGUCGCAUUAGCUAGUUGGUGAGGUAACGGCCCACCAAGGCGACGAUGCGUAGCCGACCUGAGAGGGUGAUCGGCCACAUUGGGACUGAGAUACGGCCCAGACUCCUACGGGAGGCAGCAGUGGGGAAUAUUGGGCAAUGGAGGAAACUCUGACCCAGCAAUGCCGCAUGAAUGAAGAAGGUCUUCGGAUUGUAAAGUUCUUUAGUCAGGGAAGAAGUCAAUGACGGUACCUGAAGAAUAAGCUCCGGCUAACUACGUGCCAGCAGCCGCGGUAAUACGUAGGGAGCAAGCGUUGUUCGGAAUGACUGGGCGUAAAGGGUGCGUAGGCGGUUGUACAAGUUAGAAGUGAAAUACCCAGGGCUUAACUCGGGUGCUGCUUCUAAAACUGUAUGACUUGAGUGCAGUAGAGGUUAGUGGAAUUCCUAGUGUAGCGGUGGAAUGCGUAGAUAUUAGGAGGAACACCAGAGGCGAAGGCGGCUAACUGGACUGCAACUGACGCUGAGGCACGAAAGUGUGGGGAGCAAACAGGAUUAGAUACCCUGGUAGUCCACACUGUAAACGAUGGAUACUAGAUGUAGGAGGUAUCGACUCCUUCUGCGUCGCAG
This 701-nucleotide ribosomal RNA is filed under the name uncultured bacterium. RNAcentral describes it as "bacterial SSU rRNA". It matches the Rfam family "Bacterial small subunit ribosomal RNA", at positions 139 to 851 of the family's 1533-position model. The record is from RNAcentral.